RNAcentral lists this ribosomal RNA (281 nucleotides) under uncultured Acholeplasma sp. RNAcentral describes it as "partial 16S ribosomal RNA". It matches the Rfam family "Bacterial small subunit ribosomal RNA", at positions 1104 to 1382 of the family's 1533-position model. The record is from RNAcentral. Lineage: Bacteria; Bacillati; Mycoplasmatota; Mollicutes; Acholeplasmatales; Acholeplasmataceae.
CCUACUUGCUAGUUACCAUCAUUAAGUUGGGGACGUCUAGCGAGACUGCCAGUGAUAAACUAGGAGGAAGGUGGGGGAUGACGUCAAAUCAUCAUGCCCCUUAUGACCUGGGCUACAAACGUGAUACAAUGGCUGAAACAAAGGGCAGCGAAGCAGUGAUGUGGAGCGAAACCCAAAAAAGCAGUCUCAGUUCGGAUUGAAGUCUGCAACUCGACUUCAUGAAGUUGGAAUCGCUAGUAAUCGUAGAUCAGAACGCUACGGUGAAUACGUUCUCGGGGUUU